AACUCAUCCAACUACAUUGAAAGAAAUAAGGGACUCAUACAGCAACAUAGUUUACGAGUUAUAUCUUCCAAAACGUCGAAUUUACAUAAUCCCAUAGAUAUAAGAACAAGUUCUUAUAACUGUGCAUAAUUCUAACUAAUAGAUAGGUACGGUACGGAAAAGAAAAUAUGAUACAAGGUACCUUUUAUCCCUGGCAAAUUUUGGUAAAUUCAAAAGCUAGAAGGUAUAUCAACAAAUUACACCAUUCAGAAGAAAAUCAAUCUUAUUUUUUUAAAGAGUUACCGUACAAUAAUAAUAACUUAAACAACAUUAAAAUGUCAAUUUUUUAUGAUUAGCUUAACGUUUGUUUUUAUCGUCUCUAAAAAUUAAAAAAUAAAGGUCGAUUUUGCUUUGCGUUAAUUACCGGGUUGCUAUAUCGUGUGUGUGACCUAUUUGGAAUCAUUAGCGUCCAUUCAAUGGAUUGACGACCUCUGUGGUUCACCGCUUCCGAAAGAUUGGCUCGAUUCAUUUACUAUCGUAGGUUCGAAUUUAAAACCUAGUUCACCAGGAACUAGGUAACUACCAUGGAAAUAGUAGGUACUCCAAAGUACUUACUAAAUCCAUAGUAACUACGUGUACGGUCAUCCAAUGGCAUAUUAUUAUUAAUAAAUAAUAAUAAGUACGAGCUGCGCCUCGGGGCUUUACUACCGUGGGAAUAGUAGGUAUAAAAAUGAAUAAGGACAAAUAGUAGCCUAUGUGUUAUUCCAGGUUAUAUUCUAUCCAUGUACCACAUUUCAUAAGAUUGAUUAGUAGACUGCCUGAAAAACAAACAUACAUACAUCCUCACAAACUUUCGCAUUUAUAAUAUUAAUAGGAUACUGUGCUAUCAUUCUCCAAAAUAAUACAAUUGAUUAUUAAUUCAGUUUCAUCCGAGUGUUUUCCUGGUCCCUUCCUCAGCCGUUGAAAAUCGGAGCCCAGUGUCCGCUUCCCUACUUUUUACAUUAGCAUGGUAGUCAGCAUUCCUAGUUGUCAGAAUGGUCGUGUUGUCAGACCAAGUUAAUCACAAACAUCUCUGCUGUUCAACUCAUGAAAUGAGUCAUUAUCAUAGUGAUAAAACGUUGAGGAUAAUUUAAAUAAAAACAUACAUACUGGAUCUAAGUUUUAAUGUCAUGUUCACACAUUACACAAAACCUGAAUCAUUCUCAUUUUGCGAUUUUUAUGUUUUUAUUAUACAUAGUUAGCUCCAUAACCUAAAGAGCUAUCUGUGACUAAAGUUUCAUUUUUAAAUCUAUUUUGUUUAAUUUUUAUAAAAUGAGAAGCAACUUUUCUCCUGGACAUGAACCAACAACUUUAGAAAAUAUUAUUUAAAAAUAUUAUAAGGUGUAUGUACUAACACCUUUAUUUAUUAUUAUACAUUAUAAUCUUGGUGAAAUGAAAAUAAUGCAAUAUUUUAUAGACUUUUUUUAUGUAUUAAUGCGCCAUUGCCAAUAUAUCAACAAUAGUGUUAAUACCACACUUAGCUAUACCCUAUAAUCGGCUAUAAUCGAGGACUUGCAAUAUAGUAAGGAUUAGUUCUUGGCAAAGGAGACAAAAAGCAUUGUUUUAAACUGAGAUGGCUGUAUAUAGGGUUUCCAAAGUCACCCAUUAGAAAACAAAUAGGUAAUUGUCAAUCACAGAUCACACAAUUUCAAUUAUAAUAAGUGCAAGAAUGCAAUCAAAACACAUUUAUUAGGAACACAAAACAUUAAAAAAAUUAAAAUUGUUUUGAGACAUGUCCGAUGGCUUUGGAAACCCUAGCAUUUUUCACUUCAUCGGGUGAGCAAAUUAAUAACUAAACCGUCCGAAACAAGUUGAUAGCUUAGUCUGUUUUCUUGUCUGCAGCUUUGGUUUCAGGCUCCUUUUUCUCCUUUUCUUUUUCAUCCUUCUCUUCAAUAAUGGCCUCCUUUGCCUCCUGUUUGGAGGCCUCGUCGAAAUUACCUACUAGGUUAGGUACUUCAUCAUCCUCUUCGAGAGGCUUCGGCGCGGCCACGCUUGACGCCAAUCUCUUCAACUGAUUAAGUCCUUCAGGCCCCAAUUGACUCAGGAUGCCAGGCAACAUUUCAGCGAUUUGCUUAUUCUCUCCAUGUCCUGUGAUAGCGAAAGUAUUCGCCGCGAGCGAUGCUUGUGCUUUUGGGUUGUUGAAAUGUAUCACAGUACCGUCAUCUUUUAUCAUAUUAACUUCCUCUAUGCCAGGUAUUGUGUUUACUGACAGUUUUUUGAGGGAAGACUGCAAUUUCUUGUCGUCUGUGGCGGCGGUGGCAUGGACAACCUUCUUCUUUCGUCGUGGUGUGCCCUUACCUCCAAUGCGCACUUGUGAUUGCAAUUUCUUCAGCUUUUCGGUAUUCAUUUUGUGAUUUUAACACGUACUACCUGUCAAAGGAAACACGACACACUUUUUAGUAAUGUUUGUUGAUAAUAUUAAUCGCGAACACACGAGUUUUCCAUGUAACUAGAUGAUACGCACGUGUUUUGAACACCGGUAAGUUACAAAGGGAAAA
This is a long non-coding RNA of Plodia interpunctella (Indianmeal moth), 2516 nucleotides long. RefSeq lists it as uncharacterized. The record is from RefSeq and is a predicted model, not a curated record. The transcript is spliced from 2 exons. Lineage: Eukaryota; Metazoa; Arthropoda; Insecta; Lepidoptera; Pyralidae.